Molecule: long non-coding RNA, 651 nt
Organism: Erinaceus europaeus (western European hedgehog)
Lineage: Eukaryota; Metazoa; Chordata; Mammalia; Eulipotyphla; Erinaceidae
Exons: 4
Source: RefSeq, a predicted model, not a curated record
CCACCCAGUUGUGUUCUCAGCCUCUUUCUUCCUGCUUAGCAUCACAUUCUCUAAACGGGAGACAGAAUCCUUCCCCAGGGAAGGGAGCGGCUGAUCACCUUGGCACUAGCCGAAUGUGAUGCCAAGUGGAGAGUUAGUUGCAAGUGCUACUAAGGUUCAGGCAGGCCUGGAUUUCUUCCACGAGGUUCAUUCAAAGCCGAGGGUUCUGUUUCACUGAUGACAUCUGUUGCGUGUCUGCUGUACUGGGUGCUGGGAUACUGUCAUGAAUCCAACACUGGAAGUUUAAGAGAACAGAAGGAACCUGAGAUGCCAUGAGAUGAGCACAGAACUCUGAUCAGUGGCAUGGCUUUGUCCUUUUCCAGGAAGCUGUGACAUCAGCGUUCUCAGCCCUGACUGCACAUUCAGUAAAUAGCUGGAGAGCUUCAAGACCACACGGGACUCCAUAAGAUUCCAUUAUAUGCUGGGAGUGGAAGAAAGUACCCUAUACAUACGAGACAUUCAAUCUACUACUGAACUACAACCCAGCCCUAGGCCCUUUCUUCCUAAAGAGAAGACUGUGGUGGGAAUGGGCAUGUGGGCAGGAUUUGGAGACUUGGAUUCCUCAGAGCCAUUGUUGUUUGUAAACACUAAUAAACUUAGAUCAAGACCUGA